UGAACAAGUACGGCUUCGAG
RNAcentral lists this unclassified non-coding RNA (20 nucleotides) under Mus musculus (house mouse). RNAcentral describes it as "oocyte_clustered_small_RNA13902". Lineage: Eukaryota; Metazoa; Chordata; Mammalia; Rodentia; Muridae. The record is from RNAcentral.